RNAcentral lists this transfer RNA (73 nucleotides) under Camelus bactrianus (Bactrian camel). It matches the Rfam family "tRNA". Rfam says of the family: Transfer RNA (tRNA) molecules are approximately 80 nucleotides in length. Lineage: Eukaryota; Metazoa; Chordata; Mammalia; Artiodactyla; Camelidae. RNAcentral also lists the same sequence under 2 other names. The record is from Rfam by way of RNAcentral.
GAGGGUAUAGCUCAAGCAGUAGAGCGCAUGCUCAGCAUGCACAAGGUCCUGGGUUCAAUCCCCAGUACCCCCU